UUGGGGCACACCAGAGGAAGAGUUCAUUCCUCGUGUGAAAUAAAGCUGUUGAAACGUGUCCUCUGCAUAUUCUCUAUCCCAGAUGACAGCUGUUAUUACCUGGUGAAAAAUAACGCAGCAGUCAGCGUUCCUGAGCAGAGCCUAAUAUAGCUGCUGUUUGGCUGUCACUUCUGCAGGAGGAGGAGGAAGGAGUGUCAAGUCGAAGAGCAAGGAGGAGAUCAGCAAACGAGUUUUGUUUUGUACAGGAAAACAAGAAGAAAAGUGGCACCACUGGAAGUUGUGUGUUUGGCCUCAUAAGAUGCUCCUGUUCAGGGAUGUACCAAAGGAGAGGAGAGAAUAUAGAUUUGUA
Molecule: long non-coding RNA, 349 nt
Organism: Monopterus albus (swamp eel)
Lineage: Eukaryota; Metazoa; Chordata; Actinopteri; Synbranchiformes; Synbranchidae
Exons: 3
Source: RefSeq, a predicted model, not a curated record